Molecule: RNase P RNA, 349 nt
Filed under: Candidatus Krumholzibacteriia bacterium
Lineage: Bacteria; Candidatus Krumholzibacteriota; Candidatus Krumholzibacteriia
Description: RNase P RNA component class A
Rfam family: Bacterial RNase P class A
About the family: Ribonuclease P (RNase P) is a ubiquitous endoribonuclease, found in archaea, bacteria and eukarya as well as chloroplasts and mitochondria. Its best characterised activity is the generation of mature 5'-ends of tRNAs by cleaving the 5'-leader elements of precursor-tRNAs.
Source: RNAcentral
GAAGCGGACUGGAUGACCGCGGGCUUCGGUCCGAGGAAAGUCCGGGCUCCACAGGGCAUGGCGCUGGCUAACGGCCAGGGGGAGUGAUCCCACGGAUAGUGCCACAGAAAAGAUACCGCCGGCUUGCCGGUAAGGGUGAAAUGGUGAGGUAAGAGCUCACCGGGCUUUCGGUGACGAAAGUCGCAGGGUAAACCCCGCCAGGAGCAAGGCCAAAUAGGGGGAGAGAGGUGGCCCGCCUCACUUGAUCCCCGGGUAGGCUGCUAGAGGUUGUCGGUAACGGCGAUCCCAGAGAAAUGGUCAUCACUUCCUUCGGGGAGUACAGAACCCGGCUUACAGGUCCGCCUCCCUU